Long non-coding RNA from Alosa alosa (allis shad), 1572 nucleotides. RefSeq lists it as uncharacterized. NCBI's taxonomy places the organism in Eukaryota, Metazoa, Chordata, Actinopteri, Clupeiformes, Clupeidae. The transcript is spliced from 7 exons. The record is from RefSeq and is a predicted model, not a curated record.
AUUUAUGGACAGUGAAUAGGCUAGGGAAUCUAUAUGCGUACAGCAUUCGGGUUGAACCUAAACUUCAUUAACCCCUGAAUAACGUACGCUGUGGGCAUGCUGUCCAGAUCUUGCUCUCUGGGUUUACAAGUGAGUGGGUGUGGGUUUAAAUAUCUAAUGGAGAAAAGGCAUUGCAGAAUCUCUCAUCGGACGAGAAUAGCAUCGUUGUGUCCACCGCCCCCACCCCACAACACCCCACCUAACGGAUUUUUAAAAAGAGGUUCUUUUUCGCUUCGGCAGCCAACACUCCGGGUUUGUCUUGACUCAGCCCAAAUCGCCAACAAAUACCGAUUCCGUCCAACAUGUUCAUGGGAUGCAUUUCUUUCAAAUCUUUGGUUGGUCAGGGUGACUGGCUUCAAUAGUGGAUGACCUUGUCGGAUGACCCAUCUGUCGUACUGGGCCGAUACGGGAGAGGUGAGACAGCUAUGCAGAGCCUGAACACUCUGAUUUCCACCUCCGCAGAUGGUGGGUCACCUUAAGUAAAGACAAACACAGAGGUCAAAGAACACGUCUCUGGGAUCACUUGCUAUUAGUUGGAUUUGUCACCCUUAAGGCACCCAGGAAAAAGACUGAUGAAGAAAGUUAUCUGUGGUAGAGAGGAAUGACAUGGAAGGAAGCCGUUUAUUUCCAUAGAUGGUAUUAAAGGUCUAUUGAUGUCAGCCAUUUUAACAGGCAAUUAAAUGACAACAAGAAAAAGGACAAGAAUGAACUUCUCCAGACUGCAUACAGAUCCGAGUGUGUCCAGAUUGAAACAUUCAAUGGAUCUCCUCGGAGACGAGAGCUGGUUUGGGUCCGUCCGACUGCAGCCAGUUUGGUUCAUCUCGUGACUUCAAGGCUUAUCGGCUUGUUUCCUUGGUAAAUAAGACAGGAAUCAAACAUGGAUGAAAGGUUAUGGUCUCCAGGUCCACCACCACACACACAUAAUAAACUCCGACCAAGGUCUCUGAUCGCCGUCUGUUUGACUGGCAUGUUCUCAACAGCCACCCACGGAUAUUUGUGCAUAUUCGUGUGGACGCUCAAAGGAGGAAAAAUAUCAGUAUAUAAAAAAACAGGUUUGGACAAAACCAUACAGGGCCUGUGCUUUUAUUCAUUUUCACUGCAGAGUAGAGAAAAGUGUAACCCUUUUUUAUGUCCUCAUCUUGGUAGCAAUGACAAUGAAUUGGCACUUCAACUUUGACUUCUUCAACAGGAAAAACACCCCACUCUCCCACUGUGUUCGCUUUCCCACUUUCUGAGAGUGAAUGAACACUCUCCAAAACUCACAGCUGUUCAAUCUAAAAACACAAACUCUGCCUGUGACAAAAAAGCAAAGAGGUGAAGCCUCGUGUUGCAUUCUGGAGUGGACAUCAAAGCUAGUGGCUGUAGGACAGUCCAACAAAAGAGCAGUCGUUUAUCUUGGGACUCUUUUUUUGGGUUUAGCGGAGACCAAACCUGGAACUAGACAUUCUACCAUCAUCAGAGCAGCAUAAUAAGAGCCAACCUAAACCCCUGAUUCUUCAAAAACUAAAUAAGGUACUCUGCAUUCUUUUCCCA